CGAAAAUAGAGUGGCAGGGUGGUGUCUCCUGCGCCCCGACGGGUUCUUCCCUGCCACGG
Molecule: non-coding RNA, 59 nt
Filed under: unclassified sequences
Source: RNAcentral